GGCUUCGUGGUCUAGCGGUAUGAUUCUCGCUUAGGGUAACACCCAAGUAUCUUAUGCAUUUAAAUCGUCGACGACGAUAUGCGCUUAUGCGAGAGGUCCCGGGUUCGAUCCCCGGCGAAGCCC
Hypoxylon cercidicola is the source of this 123-nucleotide non-coding RNA. The record is from the annotation of a GenBank genome assembly. NCBI's taxonomy places the organism in Eukaryota, Fungi, Ascomycota, Sordariomycetes, Xylariales, Hypoxylaceae.